RNAcentral lists this ribosomal RNA (1971 nucleotides) under Triticum aestivum (bread wheat). RNAcentral describes it as "partial small subunit ribosomal RNA". The record is from RNAcentral. Lineage: Eukaryota; Viridiplantae; Streptophyta; Magnoliopsida; Poales; Poaceae.
AUGCAGGCCUCAACAUCACACUCCCAAAAUCAAUCAAUCAGAGUUCCAUCCAAUCCAACAGACUGGCAAUACGAUUUCAAGAUGAGGAGCGGAGGCCAUCUUCUUCUUCUUGCCGUGGCGUUAGUGAUCCUAUCGCCGUCGCUGUGCCCCGCAGCCACUGCAUGGGGCAUCUUCUCCUCCUCUAAACCCACCAGCCAGACCGUCGCCGCGCCGACGCUGCCAGACGACGGCGACGGCGGCGGCAGGACGGUGGCCGAUUUCUCGAUGGAAGGCGGCGGCGGCGGCCCGAGGGGCGUGGAGCUGCUGGAUGGCGCGCGGCGCAGGAUCGCCGGCCCGGCCUCCUGCUGGGGCGAGGCGUACCGCGGCCUCUUCGCCAGCUGCGCCCACAUCAUGUCCGACAAGGAGCGCCAGUCCAGGCUCGCGUGGCGCCUCAGCGCCUGCUACCAGCAGGACUCCGGCCGCCCGCCGCUGCCGCCCUGCGACGACCGCUCGCGCAUGGUGCACUGCCGCAAGCGCCUCUCCGAGCACGAGGAGAAGGUCUUCCUCGAGUUCUUCCUCGAGACCAACACCCUCUGCCACCAGCUCCAGGCGGAGGCGUUCAAGCAGAGCACGGAGCGGCUGGUGAACGACCUGACCCGGGCGGCGGCGGCGGCGAGCGAGAAGCUGACGGCGAUCGAGGAGAGGUCGGACCAGAUCAUGCAGGAGUCGAGCAAGCUCCACGGCUCCAUGUCGUCGAUCGUGUCGCAGACGGAGCAACUGGCCGCCGCGUCCGACAAUCUCAAAUCCCGGAUCGGCGACGUGCUGGCGCAGUCGGCGGCCAUCGCGGAGCAGUCGAGGCAGAUCGCGGCGGCGCAGGCGGGGCUGAGGGAAGGGCAGGAGGAGAUGCGUGCCCGGGUCGACGCCGGCAUGGCGCGGGUGGAGGAGGAGUACGCGCGGCUGGGCGAGGAGAUGGCGAGGCUGAAGGAGGAGGCGGCGGGGAUCGAGCGGGAGGUCAGGGCCGUGGGCGACGCCAUGGCGGCGCGGAUGGAGGGCCUGCAGCGCACCGCGGAGGAGAUCGGGACCGCCGCCGGCAAGUCGCUCGAGAACCAGAGGGCGCUGCUGGAAGGUCAGGCGAACGCGACGCGGGCGCUCGGGGAGCUCCACGGGUUCCUGGCCCGGGCGCUCGAGGAGAGCAGGGAGGCGAUGCAGAGGCUGGCGCGGUUCGGGCGGCAGCAGCAGGAGGAGCUGCUGUCCCGGCAGGAGCAGCUCCGGCGCGCCCACGACCACCUCAUGCACAACUCGGAGUCGAUCCUCCGGGCGCAGGAGGAGUUCAGCGCGAAGCAGGCCAGCAUCUUCGCGGCGCUGGACAAGCUCUACGUGCUGCACAACGCCAUCCUGGUGGAGUCCCGCUUCGUCAAGGCCUUCUUCUUCUACUGCUGCGUCGUCUUCCUCCUCUACCUCCUCACCAGCGCCAAGCAGACCUUCGCCAUCAGAGGCCAGCUCUACUUCGGUCUGUGCGUCAUGCUCGUCGUGGAGGUCGCGCUCAUCAGGCUGGGGGCCGCCGACGACGACCUCACCAAGCCGUUCUGGGUCGUGUCCAACGUGCUGCUGCUCCGGUCGGCCUUCCUCGCCGCCGCCGCCGCCCAGAUCCUGCACGCCAUCUUCGCCUUCAAGGAUUACGACGUGCUGAACCACGAGCUGCUCCAGACGCUGGUGGAGAAAGUCCGGGCAAUCGAAGACAACGCCGCCGGAGACAAGAUGUGUCCAUGGGGCACAGGCAGUGAUGAUGAAAGUAGCCUCAGCGACUACUCGUGGGUCUUCGACGAGCUGCAGGACGACGUCGACAGCGAAAUCGACCCAGACUUCGUUCUCCGGGAAGAUGACAUCUGCAGGGAGGACCACGGUUUCCGGGAAGAAAUCGGCGAAAAUUCACUCUCGGCAUCGCUCGCCAUGAGGAGAUACAACCUUCGGGCACGCAUUAUGCCACGGUGA